This 1854-nucleotide ribosomal RNA is filed under the name Pseudomonas aeruginosa. RNAcentral's name for it is "bacterial LSU rRNA". It matches the Rfam family "Bacterial large subunit ribosomal RNA", at positions 1087 to 2925 of the family's 2925-position model. The record is from RNAcentral. Lineage: Bacteria; Pseudomonadati; Pseudomonadota; Gammaproteobacteria; Pseudomonadales; Pseudomonadaceae.
AGACAGCUAGGAGGUUGGCUUAGAAGCAGCCAUCCUUUAAAGAAAGCGUAAUAGCUCACUAGUCGAGUCGGCCUGCGCGGAAGAUGUAACGGGGCUCAAACCACACACCGAAGCUGCGGGUGUCACGUAAGUGACGCGGUAGAGGAGCGUUCUGUAAGCCUGUGAAGGUGAGUUGAGAAGCUUGCUGGAGGUAUCAGAAGUGCGAAUGCUGACAUGAGUAACGACAAUGGGUGUGAAAAACACCCACGCCGAAAGACCAAGGGUUCCUGCGCAACGUUAAUCGACGCAGGGUUAGUCGGUUCCUAAGGCGAGGCUGAAAAGCGUAGUCGAUGGGAAACAGGUUAAUAUUCCUGUACUUCUGGUUACUGCGAUGGAGGGACGGAGAAGGCUAGGCCAGCUUGGCGUUGGUUGUCCAAGUUUAAGGUGGUAGGCUGAAAUCUUAGGUAAAUCCGGGGUUUCAAGGCCGAGAGCUGAUGACGAGUCGUCUUUUAGAUGACGAAGUGGUUGAUGCCAUGCUUCCAAGAAAAGCUUCUAAGCUUCAGGUAAUCAGGAACCGUACCCCAAACCGACACAGGUGGUCGGGUAGAGAAUACCAAGGCGCUUGAGAGAACUCGGGUGAAGGAACUAGGCAAAAUGGCACCGUAACUUCGGGAGAAGGUGCGCCGGCUAGGGUGAAGGAUUUACUCCGUAAGCUCUGGCUGGUCGAAGAUACCAGGCCGCUGCGACUGUUUAUUAAAAACACAGCACUCUGCAAACACGAAAGUGGACGUAUAGGGUGUGACGCCUGCCCGGUGCCGGAAGGUUAAUUGAUGGGGUUAGCGCAAGCGAAGCUCUUGAUCGAAGCCCCGGUAAACGGCGGCCGUAACUAUAACGGUCCUAAGGUAGCGAAAUUCCUUGUCGGGUAAGUUCCGACCUGCACGAAUGGCGUAACGAUGGCGGCGCUGUCUCCACCCGAGACUCAGUGAAAUUGAAAUCGCUGUGAAGAUGCAGUGUAUCCGCGGCUAGACGGAAAGACCCCGUGAACCUUUACUGUAGCUUUGCACUGGACUUUGAGCCUGCUUGUGUAGGAUAGGUGGGAGGCUUUGAAGCGUGGACGCCAGUUCGCGUGGAGCCAUCCUUGAAAUACCACCCUGGCAUGCUUGAGGUUCUAACUCUGGUCCGUGAUCCGGAUCGAGGACAGUGUAUGGUGGGCAGUUUGACUGGGGCGGUCUCCUCCUAAAGAGUAACGGAGGAGUACGAAGGUGCGCUCAGACCGGUCGGAAAUCGGUCGCAGAGUAUAAAGGCAAAAGCGCGCUUGACUGCGAGACAGACACGUCGAGCAGGUACGAAAGUAGGUCUUAGUGAUCCGGUGGUUCUGUAUGGAAGGGCCAUCGCUCAACGGAUAAAAGGUACUCCGGGGAUAACAGGCUGAUACCGCCCAAGAGUUCAUAUCGACGGCGGUGUUUGGCACCUCGAUGUCGGCUCAUCACAUCCUGGGGCUGAAGCCGGUCCCAAGGGUAUGGCUGUUCGCCAUUUAAAGUGGUACGCGAGCUGGGUUUAGAACGUCGUGAGACAGUUCGGUCCCUAUCUGCCGUGGACGUUUGAGAUUUGAGAGGGGCUGCUCCUAGUACGAGAGGACCGGAGUGGACGAACCUCUGGUGUUCCGGUUGUCACGCCAGUGGCAUUGCCGGGUAGCUAUGUUCGGAAAAGAUAACCGCUGAAAGCAUCUAAGCGGGAAACUUGCCUCAAGAUGAGAUCUCACUGGGAACUUGAUUCCCCUGAAGGGCCGUCGAAGACUACGACGUUGAUAGGCUGGGUGUGUAAGCGUUGUGAGGCGUUGAGCUAACCAGUACUAAUUGCCCGUGAGGCUUGACC